AGAGUUUGAUCCUGGCUCAGAUUGAACGCUGGCGGAAUGCUUUACACAUGCAAGUCGAACGAUGAACCUUAGCUUGCUAAGGGGAUUAGUGGCGAACGGGUGAGUAAUAUAUCGGAACGUGCCUUGUAAUGGGGGAUAACUAGUCGAAAGAUUAGCUAAUACCGCAUACGCCCUGAGGGGGAAAGUAGGGGAUCUUCGGACCUUACGUUAUAAGAGCGGCCGAUAUCUGAUUAGCUAGUUGGUGGGGUAAUGGCCUACCAAGGCUUCGAUCAGUAGCUGGUCUGAGAGGACGACCAGCCACACUGGAACUGAGACACGGUCCAGACUCCUACGGGAGGCAGCAGUGGGGAAUUUUGGACAAUGGGCGCAAGCCUGAUCCAGCCAUUCCGCGUGAGUGAAGAAGGCCUUCGGGUUGUAAAGCUCUUUCGCAAGGGAAGAAAACUUACCUUCUAAUAAAGGGUGAGGCUGACGGUACCUUGAUAAGAAGCACCGGCUAACUACGUGCCAGCAGCCGCGGUAAUACGUAGGGUGCGAGCGUUAAUCGGAAUUACUGGGCGUAAAGCGUGCGCAGGCGGUUUGGCAAGUCAGAUGUGAAAUCCCCGGGCUCAACUUGGGAACUGCGUUUGAAACUGCCAGACUAGAAUAUGUCAGAGGGGGGUAGAAUUCCACGUGUAGCAGUGAAAUGCGUAGAGAUGCGGAAGAACACCGAUGGCGAAGGCAGCCUCCUGGGAUAACACUGACGCUCAGGCACGAAAGCGUGGGGAGCAAACAGGAUUAGAUACCCUGGUAGUCCACGCCCUAAACGAUGUCAACUAGUUGUUGGGGAUUCAUUUCCUUAGUAACGUAGCUAACGCGUGAAGUUGACCGCCUGGGGAGUACGGCCGCAAGAUUAAAACUCAAAGGAAUUGACGG
This 912-nucleotide ribosomal RNA is filed under the name uncultured beta proteobacterium. RNAcentral describes it as "bacterial SSU rRNA". It matches the Rfam family "Bacterial small subunit ribosomal RNA", at positions 8 to 916 of the family's 1533-position model. Lineage: Bacteria; Pseudomonadati; Pseudomonadota; Betaproteobacteria. The record is from RNAcentral.